GAAGCUGAUGACGUGCUUUCUACCUGAUAAAAAUUGCUGAAACAAACGCAAAGACGUAUGCCUCGCAUUUAGGGAUUUGGGGCAGACUUUAAUUCAACGACAAUCGAAAGAGUCGAAACGAAACAAUCGAAAGAAACUGCAGCCGGAAAAUACAUUUUUAUGAUUUGGUUCGCCUCCGUUUCACAUAUUCGAGAUGAACAAUUAUAUCAAUCACUUAUAAUUCUGGAUUUCCCUUAUCGAUGACGCCAUCAGCCUAGACUCAACUCUAUGUAAGAUAGUCUGGAAUUUUCUAUAAUUUCACAAUCACAAUUUUAACUUAUCGUGGUAGCCUUGCAGAGUUCAGACUGUUGCCACGCAGUACAUAAUACGCUCUCAAAUUAAAUAUAAAACCUUCUUUUCACGUUAUAAAGCUUAAAGUCGAUUACAGCGGCUCGCCUGUGUGCGUAAUGCAUAUGUGUGAGCCCUGCGCGUUGCAUCGCGCCCUAGGUCAGUACACUUUAGUGCAUCCGUGCGACUGCAUCGCCUUUAUUCGCAAAAAAUCAUGAAUUAAAUCAGAUAUCAUGAAAAUCAUUCAGGAGUGUAUAAAAUGAAAACUCGUUCACAUUUUCCCGAUAACAGUGAAAGAAAAUGGAUAACUCGUCGUCUUUGUCCGACGCCAUGUUGUCAACGAAGAGAAAAACGGUGAAAUUCAACAUUAACGGAAAUAGACGAGGAAAUAUUAUGUUAAGGACAUUGGAUGCAGUUGACGAAAUCACCCAACCGAUGCACAAAUGAGGAUUCCAUGACUGUGUUGGUGAUGUUCCCAUAUGCCUUACUAGGAGUCCAUACGUCACGGGAAUUUAUUUUCAUUUCUUCUAUUACUAAGAGUUUAAUUUAGACGAGUACUUAUGAAUUAAAAUGAUGUUCAAGCUGGUUUCAAUAAAAGCACUGACGGAUCUUUGUCGAGAAAAUCUGCGAUUUCCUCGGAAACAACUGAGUCGAUAAGAUCUUUGCUCAUUUCGCAAUUAUUUCCGAUUUGUAUUUUAUCACAUAAUUUAAAAUGGAUAGCGGAAGUAAUCUCGUUUUGCCUGUCAAGUGUGUCAGGUAACGGCCGAUCAUUUGGAUAUAAAAAGCAAAACUAAUUAUCCAAAUGUAAAAAGAUGGCCCAUGCCCCGUGGGAGUGUUACAAGACUUCAUACUGAUUGUGGCCAUGGGUAAUAGAAAUAUUGUUUUCAUAGUUGUAUUUUCGUAGACAUACCUAUUUUAAAUCUAGAAUCAGCUCAGUAGUUAGUAUGUAUUUUGAUGUAUUUGCUUGUGUAACUGGUUAUGUUCUUUAUGGUUUUUAAUUUAAUUUUGUUUUUUUAAAAUAUGGCGACUGAACCAUUCUGUACACUAGCGAUAUGUAAAUGCACAUUUUGUUUCGGCUGCCAUGUCUACUUAAUGUUUUGUUGACCUAUUAUAAUUUUUCUCCCACUUAGCUUUGGACCCUCUCAACUGGGACCCGUAGACCCGAACUUGUGCGCAAAGUCGUAUGGAAGACUAGACUGUGACGAAUCCGUCUCACGUUUAUAACCGCAUAUUGCGUCCGCACAAAGUGCUUGGCGGACGAUUCUGCCCUUUCUUUAUCCGAUAUCCAAUUUAUUGUGCUAGGCUAAAUUUUAUAUAUCAGCACCAUAUUUUGUAUUGUUUAGAAGAGAAUAGGGAUUAUUAAGGAUAAUGACCGACCGAUCUAUUCUCAUCUGCAUUUAAUAUCACAAUAAUAUGACAAAAAGAACUAUUAUCUAUGUUAUUCCAAAGAGUACUUAUAAUCUGUGUUCAUGACGUCAUUUAUAUUUAAAAAAUUCAUAAAAGGUCAAUUAUCCAAGAUAGAAACAAUGUUUGGUCAAUCUCCUUGACAGCGGAAUGCGAAUUUCGUGUGACAGCUUUUAGUCGCACGUCUACGUCAUCCACACAAGUUUGGUGAUACGCGGGAACAGUUUUGGCGGGAUUUCGACGCUUCAACAUUUUUGGUUACCUUUUUAUUAUGUGUGUUGUGUUAUUAUUUCGUAGAAUUUGUUUUUAUAAAUUUAUAUAAUUCGCUUUCAUAUAGCUAGUUUUUGCAAAUAAUAACUUUCUCUUAGUAAAAUAUACUAAAAUGUAGAGUUACAAGUAUCUUCGUAAUUUGUUCAUUUAAAAUUUAUUUUUAACGUUAUCUAGGUAAAAUAGACCAUGUCGGGUUGAGGUAGUAGGUUGUAUAGUACAGUAUUACACCAUUUAGGAGAGACUGUAUAGCCUGCUAACUUUACUCGCUGUGGGACAUUCCACACGAAGACUAGGAAGACCAGAAGACUGCAGAGCACACUGGAGGACGAGAUAGAAGCAUACAUAAAAUAAUGGUACCUUUAUCUUAAUAACGUUAAUAUGCACAUAUUCCUUCUAAAAAGGA
Molecule: long non-coding RNA, 2404 nt
Organism: Pieris rapae (cabbage white)
Lineage: Eukaryota; Metazoa; Arthropoda; Insecta; Lepidoptera; Pieridae
Exons: 3
Source: RefSeq, a predicted model, not a curated record